This 359-nucleotide unclassified non-coding RNA is filed under the name soil metagenome. RNAcentral describes it as "partial contains 5.8S ribosomal RNA, internal transcribed spacer 2, and large subunit ribosomal RNA". The stretch from base 1 to 120 matches the Rfam family "5.8S ribosomal RNA", at positions 35 to 154 of the family's 154-position model. The record is from RNAcentral.
GAUGAAGAACGUAGCGAAAUGCGAUAAGUAAUGCGAAUUGCAGAAUUCAGUGAAUCAUCGAAUCUUUGAACGCACAUUGCGCCCGCCAGUAUUCUGGCGGGCAUGCCUGUCUGAGCGUCGUUUCGACCCUCGCGCCCGGCUUCUGUCGGGGGCGGUGUUGGGGAUCGGCCACACCCUUCAGUGGGAGGCCGGCCCCUAAAUUCAGUGGCGACCACGCUGUAGCCUCCCCUGCGUAGUACUAAAACCACCUCGCAGGCGGAGAGCGGUGCGGCCCGCCGUAAAACCCCCCAACUUUUACAAGGUCGACCUCAGAUCAGGUAGGAAUACCCGCUGAACUUAAGCAUAUCAAUAAGCGGAGA